CUGUGUGUAAGAAUUCCAACUGCACAGCCCUGCACUUUGGCUGUUUGUAAUGAAAAGGGUUGGGAUGAGUCAGGGAGAGCAAGUGUGGGGGCAGUUUCUAGGGCUGUUUUUAAGGAACUGAAAGGAGUGGUGAAAGGAUUUAGGAUCUGUGGGGUGCUUUUGUGAGUUUAUAUAAUGGUUUAGUCAGGGUGGUAAAACUAGGUAUCCAAAGGCGGAAGUACCUAACCAUGCCUAGGAAGGAAAGGAGUUGUUGUUUUGUAGAAGGGAUUGGGGUUUGGGAGAUUAGCCAGACACGAUCAGCAGGGAGAGCAUGUGUGUUUUCAUGAGAAUUAUGCCAAGAUAGGUAACAGAUGAGGAAGAAAUUUGGGCUUGACUGAAGUAAUGGGGGCCGUCUGUGAAGCCUUGUGGCAGUACACCCAGUUCUUCAUCGGGUAAUUGAGCUGAUAUCAGGUGUCUGAAGGAGGCAAGUUUUGAAGAUGUGGGUCAUGAUGGCUGCUGAAGCUUCCACUCCAUAUUUGAAGGUCAGCAGUUCUCAGGAAACCUCUAGCACUUCCAUCCCUGGUGGGAUGUGAUGCCUGUCUCAGUGUAACAUCAGAGAAGGGGUGUACUCUGUGCCCUAGAACUAGGAGCUAACAGAGAAAAACCAAAUGUGAUGUGGAGUCUGCUAGACAGGCUACUGGAGCAAGAGUGAAGCGAUGAAAGUCUCAUCAUUGGGACAUAUUAGGGAGGCAGCAGGUGGCUGAAAUCCUGGUGUGAUGUGGCUGGAUCAUGCAUGAUCUGAGGACUCCUGCACAGGUGACUGCAGGAUGAGUACAGAAUUUUUCUAUAAAUAUACUAAAAUACCAAGUAAGCCAGGAGCAGCCACUAGGCAAACACCAAACCUUGCAUUCCUGGCCAAACCUAUCACAGAGCUCAUCAGGUAAGUUCAAAGACACACCUGUCUUCCCAGCAUUGGGAACUGGAUUGGGGUCUACUCAGAGGCAUGAUGUUGACCAGAUUUUAUGAAACACCCAAGAAUGUAGAGAACAUUCUGUCUUUAAAACCUUGAAUUCAAAACAUAUCAGAGAGAGAUUUACUUCCCUUAUAUGGAUGUCUGUGUUCUCAUUAGGAGAGAAACAAUGAAAAAUGACUUUUCACAAUGCCUGCCUUAGCCGUGAGGCUCAGCCAACCCCCACUUCUAUGUCUCAGCAUUUAAAGGGCAAUUGAAGUCCCACUCCAUGCUAUAUACUCUCAAGAGGUUUUCUCAUUUACCCUUCAGAACAGCUCUGUAAAGAUGGUAUGGUCAGUCCCAUUUCACAGAUGACUAAGCUCAGGCUCACAGAGCCUAAGUCACCCCUCCAGGUAAGUGGCAGGGUUGGAAUGAGGUUCUAUUCCUCACCCUCCCUAGAGAACCCUGAGCAGCUUCCGUUUUAGAAGAUGGGUUUCCAGGGCUUGAGAAAUGGUCAGAUUCCCCCCUGAUAUUGUGGCCCCACAGGUCCUCACUCCACAACCCCUCUGGGUGAUGAGGAAGACAGAAGAGGUGAAAUCCUGCGCUUUGUGCCAUGAGAUCUGGGUGUAGGGCCACAGGAGUUAGCUAAUCCUUGAAGUGGUGAGUGGGCUCAGGCAGAAGCUCAAGUGUUGGCCUUGGGACAGGUGAGCUGGAGAGAAGGAAAGUAACAUGCACUGAACCACUGUAAGCAAAUGCAAUUUACAGCUCAUCUCCUUUAAUCCUAACAACCAUUUAAGAUACUCAUCAUUCUGACCAUUAUUCAGAUCAGUGUGCUGUCUUUAGGGGAGUUUAUGUAAGUCAGGGAAACAACCUAGUUGUCCUGUGAUCAUCAGCUAACUCUGGAAUACUCCAAAGUUGUAUCAUUUUCUCUUGAUGUCUCCAGGGCUCUGAAUGUUCUAAUCUCCCUGCAGGCUGAUAGCGCCUGCUCCUCAUGGUGUUAUUCAACAUUUUUUCUUUUUAAAUUAUGACCUGUAUAUUUUUGUCACAUUAUUGACAUUUAAAACACUUUCUCAGUAAAAAUAAGGCUAAACAUUUUUUAACUUAAGGGAGAAAACAUUUGCAAACUACAUCUCAGAUACUGGGUUAGUAUCCAUGAUUUGUGAACCACAUUCUGUAACAAAAUGACUGGCAGCUGUUUUCAACAGACAUUCUCAUUAAAAUGUACAUGAACAAUAAACAUGUUAAAAUAUGUCAAAACUGGAAGUACUAAUAAGAUGCAAAUAUAAAUCUUCAAGAGAAUAUUAUGUGGAAGAAAAAAGUUGCAAAAAAAAUUAGUACUGUGAUUCACUUUUGGAACAGAUUGUGUGUUUGCGUGCACCUCACCUACAGGGACACAUCUGGAGAGUAUGCACCAUUCUGUUGACAACAGACCCUUUUGGGUCAGAGGGUAGGCUUCAGGCCAGUGAGAUAUGCAGAUUCAUUUCAAUUUAUAAAUAUACUUUUAUACAUUGUUUGAAAUUUUGUAUUUAGGGAAAAAAGCAUUUCAAUAAAUACUUUUGAAUAGAUUGGCAACAGUAAUUGUAAUGUAUUUCAUUAAUUCGAAAGUACAUUCAUUGUAUUCAAUUUUGUAUUGAGACAAAGUAGAUAAAAAUGGAAUUGAUAAUGUCUAUGUGUGUGAGUGUGUGUGUGUGUGUGUGUGUGUAUCUUCUCUUGCUCUAUCACCCAAAUAAACAUACGUGCAGCUUUACCUUUAAUUCAGACAGGGGAUGGAACCAAUAUCAGUUUUAGAUAUCCCAGAAAAUAGUGGAUACAGAGAGACAGCUACCAUGAGCUGAAUAAUUCCGGAAGACUCCAGCUGAUACCUUCUGGGAGCCAAAUUCCCAAACUCCAUCCCUCUUUCCCUCUUACCGAGGCCCUUGGCUGACAGAGAUGCAAUCCUGUCUCUGGGCACCAGAUGGCAUCGAUCUCUUUAUUUUUUUUUUUUUAAUAAAAAGGAGUAUAUUUUGUAGAGUAACGAAGGACUUAAAAUGGUUUGUUUACCAUGAUCAUAAUUCUGU
RNAcentral lists this long non-coding RNA (2985 nucleotides) under Homo sapiens (human). RNAcentral describes it as "HSALNT0284985". Lineage: Eukaryota; Metazoa; Chordata; Mammalia; Primates; Hominidae. The record is from RNAcentral.